RNAcentral lists this ribosomal RNA (252 nucleotides) under uncultured bacterium. RNAcentral's name for it is "partial 16S ribosomal RNA". It matches the Rfam family "Bacterial small subunit ribosomal RNA", at positions 524 to 776 of the family's 1533-position model. The record is from RNAcentral.
UACGUAGGGGGCAAGCGUUAUCCGGAUUUACUGGGUGUAAAGGGAGCGUAGACGGCUUUGCAAGCCAGAUGUGAAAGCCCGGGGCUCAACCCCGGGACUGCAUUUGGAACUGUGUGGCUAGAGUGUCGGAGAGGCAGGCGGAAUUCCUAGUGUAGCGGUGAAAUGCGUAGAUAUUAGGAGGAACACCAGUGGCGAAGGCGGCCUGCUGGACGAUGACUGACGUUGAGGCUCGAAAGCGUGGGAGCAAACAGG